AUUGAACGCUGGCGGCAGGCCUAACACAUGCAAGUCGAGCGGAUGAAGGGAGCUUGCUCCUGGAUUCAGCGGCGGACGGGUGAGUAAUGCCUAGGAAUCUGCCUGGUAGUGGGGGAUAACGUCCGGAAACGGGCGCUAAUACCGCAUACGUCCUGAGGGAGAAAGUGGGGGAUCUUCGGACCUCACGCUAUCAGAUGAGCCUAGGUCGGAUUAGCUAGUUGGUGGGGUAAAGGCCUACCAAGCCGACGAUCCGUAACUGGUCUGAGAGGAUGAUCAGUCACACGGGAACUGAGACACGGUCCAGACUCCUACGGGAGGCAGCAGUGGGGAAUAUUGGACAAUGGGCGAAAGCCUGAUCCAGCCAUGCCGCGUGUGUGAAGAAGGUCUUCGGAUUGUAAAGCACUUUAAGUUGGGAGGAAGGGCAGUAAGUUAAUACCUUGCUGUUUUGACGUUACCAACAGAAUAAGCACCGGCUAACUUCGUG
RNAcentral lists this ribosomal RNA (484 nucleotides) under uncultured bacterium. Its description in RNAcentral is "partial 16S ribosomal RNA". It matches the Rfam family "Bacterial small subunit ribosomal RNA", at positions 30 to 507 of the family's 1533-position model. The record is from RNAcentral.